RNAcentral lists this ribosomal RNA (468 nucleotides) under uncultured bacterium. RNAcentral's name for it is "partial 16S ribosomal RNA". It matches the Rfam family "Bacterial small subunit ribosomal RNA", at positions 28 to 507 of the family's 1533-position model. The record is from RNAcentral.
GAUGAACGCUGGCGGCGUGCUUAACACAUGCAAGUCGAACGGUGAAGGCGGAGCUUGCUCUGCUGGAUCAGUGGCGAACGGGUGAGUAACACGUGAGCAAUCUGCCCCUGACUCUGGGAUAAGCGCUGGAAACGGCGUCUAAUACUGGAUACGAGCUGCGAAGGCAUCUUCAGCAGCUGGAAAGAACUUCGGUCAGGGAUGAGCUCGCGGCCUAUCAGCUUGUUGGUGAGGUAACGGAUCACCAAGGCGUCGACGGGUAGCCGGCCUGAGAGGGUGACCGGCCACACUGGGACUGAGGCGCGGCCGAGGCUGCUACGGGAGGCAGCAGUGCGGAAUAUUGCACAAUGGGCGCAAGCCGGAUGCAGCAGCGCCGCGUGUUGUACGACGGCCUUCGGGUGGUAGACCUCUUGUAGCAGAGAAGAAGCGAAAGUGACGGGAACUGCAGGAAUAGCGACGGCUAACUUCCUG